This 71-nucleotide transfer RNA is filed under the name Loripes lacteus. RNAcentral describes it as "tRNA-Ser". Lineage: Eukaryota; Metazoa; Mollusca; Bivalvia; Lucinida; Lucinidae. The record is from RNAcentral.
GGAGGAAGGUGGUAAUCGAAAAAGGACUUCUAAUCCUGUAUUCAGGCAGUUCGACUCUGUCUAUUCCUCUA